RNAcentral lists this small nuclear RNA (190 nucleotides) under Dermacentor andersoni. RNAcentral's name for it is "U2 spliceosomal RNA". It matches the Rfam family "U2 spliceosomal RNA". Rfam says of the family: U2 is a small nuclear RNA (snRNA) component of the spliceosome (involved in pre-mRNA splicing). Complementary binding between U2 snRNA (in an area lying towards the 5' end but 3' to hairpin I) and the branchpoint sequence (BPS) of the intron results the bulging out of an unpaired adenosine, on the BPS, which initiates a nucleophilic attack at the intronic 5' splice site, thus starting the first of two transesterification reactions that mediate splicing. The record is from RNAcentral. Lineage: Eukaryota; Metazoa; Arthropoda; Arachnida; Ixodida; Ixodidae.
AUGUUUUGAUGUUCUGUAGUUAGCACAAUAAAAAAUUCUGUUCUUAUCAGCUAUACUAUCUGAUACGGGUCCUAUUUGGACCCAAGAUAUUAAACUUAUUUUUGGAAUGGGGCAGAGUGCUUGAAGCUUGCUUCACCUCCGCCACGGGUUGGCCCGGUAUUGCCCUGCCUCCGGGAUCGGCCCACUCACC